CCAAUAGCGUAUAUUAAAGUUGUUGCAGUUAAAAAGCUCGUAGUUGAACUUCAGGAUCAAUUAGUUGGUCAUGCCUUGGUAUGUACUGAUUUUAUUGGUUCUCACCUUCUAAAGAACUAUAAUGUCAUUUAUUUGAUGUUAUGGGGAAUUAGGACUGUUACCUUGAAAAAAUUAGAGUGUUUAAAGCAGGCUCACGCUUGAAUACAUUAGCAUGGAAUAAUGAAAUAGGACAUCGCAUUCUAUUUUGUUGGUUUCUAGGAUCGAUGUAAUGAUUAAUAGGGAUAGUUGGGGGCAUUAGUAUUCAAUUGUCAGAGGUGAAAUUCUUGGAUUUAUUGAAGACUAACUACUGCGAAAGCAUUUGCCAAGGAUGUUUUCAUUAAUCAAGAACGAAAGUUAGGGGAUCGAAGACGAUCAGAUACCGUCGUAGUCUUAACCAUAAACUAUGCCGACUAGGGAUCGGAUGAUGUUGAUUUUUUAAUGACUCAUUCGGCACCUUACG
Molecule: ribosomal RNA, 499 nt
Filed under: uncultured Glomeromycotina
Lineage: Eukaryota; Fungi; Glomeromycota
Description: partial small subunit ribosomal RNA
Rfam family: Eukaryotic small subunit ribosomal RNA
Source: RNAcentral